CCAUAGCGUAUAUUAAAGUUGUUGCAGUUAAAAAGCUCGUAGUUGGAUUUCGGGGCAGCCUGGCUGGUCCGCCGCAAGGCGAGUACUGGUCAGCCGCCCUUCCUCUCGAAAGCCCCGACUGCUCUUCGUUGCAGUGGUCGGGUAGUUCGGGACGUUUACUUUGAAAAAAUUAGAGUGUUCAAGGCAGGCCUACGCCUGAAUACAUUAGCAUGGAAUAAUGGAAGAGGACCUCGGUCCUAUUUUGUUGGUUUCCAGGGCCGAAGUAAUGAUUAAGAGGGACAGUUGGGGGCAUUCGUAUUUAAUUGUCAGAGGUGAAAUUCUCGGAUUUAUGAAAGACGAACAACUGCGAAAGCAUUUGCCAAGGAUGUUUUCAUUAA
RNAcentral lists this ribosomal RNA (377 nucleotides) under uncultured eukaryote. Its description in RNAcentral is "partial 18S ribosomal RNA". It matches the Rfam family "Eukaryotic small subunit ribosomal RNA", at positions 592 to 976 of the family's 1831-position model. The record is from RNAcentral.